Molecule: long non-coding RNA, 827 nt
Organism: Vidua chalybeata
Lineage: Eukaryota; Metazoa; Chordata; Aves; Passeriformes; Viduidae
Exons: 2
Source: RefSeq, a predicted model, not a curated record
UGAGGCCGACGCGGCAGGCACGGAGGCUGGCCGCGCCCAGGCCGCCCCUGCCCAGGAAAAGCCCUGCGGGGAUGAGCCGCCGGCAGGAGCUUGCCCGGCGCCUGCCCAGCCCCUGGCCCGCAGCGUUCCUGCCUGCCCCGCUGGCAGCGCAGCCGUCCCGCAGCCCCCGGCCCCACGGCGAUGGCGCUUCACGGCCAAGAGGGCCCGGCGGGCUCUGCGCCGCCUUUUCUCCUGCAGCUGCCUCAGGGGGCAGCCGGAGGAAUGAGCCCGGGACCAGCACCAGGGCGUUCAGCAAAGAUGCCGGCUCGCCCUGAGGAUGCCCAGCUCCCAGGGGCAGCGGCAGGUCCCUGAGGCAACGACACCAGGGAGGUGAAAAGACUGGAUGCACCGAUGGGUGAAUGAUGCUCAAGGCAAACACUUGCCAAAGAUAGGAAAAUGCCUCCCUGGAUACCAACAACAACACAGCCUGGAGAAAGGUGUUAACACUGGAUGAGCGACCCGGGGUCCUCACGUCGAGAGGAACCACCGGGACCCCAGUGCAGAGAAGCAUAGAGUGAGGGAAGACCAACGGGACGCUGCUGGAGCCAAGCUUCUUGGCCUGUUCAAUCUCUUCCUCACCUCACCCCAGCCUUGCUCUUCCCCAUGCCUCACCCCCCUCAACUUUUCUCCAGCCCACCACAUCCCACCCCAGAUCUUGCCAUGACCAGCCCCUCUAUUUGCACCCCAACCACCCUGCAGUUCCCCCUCUUUCCUUCUCACCCUCCUCUUUCCUAUCCCUUUCUGUACCCCACAUUGGCAGUGAAAUAAAUCUCUGUUGUUGAUUUGGA